UAGAUACCCUAUUAUUUUAAAUGUAAAUGUAGAAUUUUGAGUAGUAAUAGUUAUGUUCUUGAAACUCAAAGAAUCUGGCGGUAUUUUAGUCCUUUCAGAGGAAUCUGUCCCGUUAUUGAUAAUACACAAUUUACUUUACUUAUUUUUGUAAUUUCAGUUUGUAUACCGCCGUCAUCAGUUUAUCUUGUGAAAGUUUAAUUUUCUUGAAAUUUUAUUGGAUUAUAUGUCAGGUCAAGGUGCAGCUUAUAGAUAAGUGGAGAUGGAUUACAAUAAAUUUAUUUAUAUGGAUUUUUGGUUGAAAUAUUUAAUUGAAGGUGGAUUUGAAUGUAAUUUUAUUUAAUUAGUUGAUUUGAUUUUGGCUCUAGAAUAUGCACACAUCGCCGGUCGCUCUU
This 392-nucleotide ribosomal RNA is filed under the name Rhaphidophora sp. CELG2. RNAcentral's name for it is "partial 12S ribosomal RNA". It matches the Rfam family "Microsporidia small subunit ribosomal RNA", at positions 752 to 1206 of the family's 1311-position model. Lineage: Eukaryota; Metazoa; Arthropoda; Insecta; Orthoptera; Rhaphidophoridae. The record is from RNAcentral.